GAGCACGUAGGUGGGUUUGUAAGUCAGAUGUGAAAGCCUUCUGUUCAACGGAAGAGUUGCAUCUGAAACUGCGAGUCUUGAGUGUAGGAGGGGAGAAUGGAACUUCUGGUGGAGCGGUGAAAUGCGUAGAUAUCAGAAGGAACUCCGGCGGCGAAAGCGAUUCUCUGGCCUAUUACUGACACUCAGUGUGCGAAAGCUAGGGGAGCAAACGGGAUUAGAUACCCCGGUAGUCCUAGCCGUAAACGAUGGGCACUAAGUAGAGGGGUUUU
RNAcentral lists this ribosomal RNA (269 nucleotides) under uncultured Planctomycetales bacterium. RNAcentral's name for it is "partial 16S ribosomal RNA". It matches the Rfam family "Bacterial small subunit ribosomal RNA", at positions 565 to 832 of the family's 1533-position model. The record is from RNAcentral. Lineage: Bacteria; Pseudomonadati; Planctomycetota; Planctomycetia; Planctomycetales.